CUAAAGUCUUGAAUAGUCCCAGCCUCUGCAGGAGUCUACCUAUCAGGGGAGUAUGAUGGGGCUUCUGAAAUCAACCUGGACUGUCGUGGCCUCACUGCGUGAGACCAGUUAGAGAAGCUGGGGUUUGGGUUAUCUGUGUCACACAGAGUCCUGAGGUGCUGUGCACAGCUCCCCCUGCUCACCGGAAGCUACUUGGUGAAGACCUGGCCCCUUGAUCAUGUCCUGGGGUGCAGGGUUCCUACUGGAGCCUGAACAGUGACAUCCCUGAUGUUAUAGGCAAAUGCUCCAAACUGAGAAAACAGAGGAGUGGAACAGAGCAUCUGCUAUCUGGCCCAGGAGACCAACACCAUGGGUAGAGAGAUGCCCUAUCUUGGCUUUUCAGAUUUGGCUUGGGGACCCAGGGUCCUUUCCUAUCUGACCCUUUGUCUCUUGGGAACAGGUUUUCUGGAUGCCGAAGUCAUCCAGUCCCCAAGAAACCUAAUCAAAGCCAAGGGAGGGAAGUCCACUCUGCUAUGCUACCCCACCUCUGGACACAUAAGUGUGUCCUGGUAUCAGCAGGUUCCUGGUCAAGGCCUCCAAUUGCUCAUUCAGUAUUAUGAUAUGCGUCAGAGAACUAAAGGAAACAUGCCUGACCGAUUCUCAGGUCAGCAAUUCAGUGACUAUCACUCAGAGCUGAACAUGAGCACCUUGGAGCUGGAGGACACAGCGGUGUAUCUCUGUGCCAGCAGCAUGACACACAGCCUUGCAGAGCUACUGGCUUUGUGCACUCCAACCUUCCAGUCCCAGCUGAGGAUGCCUUGGGGGCGGGGAAGGGGAGAGUUGUCACCUUAACCCAAGCCCUGUGGAUGCCUGCAGUGCUUUGCUAACCUCUUCCUGCUCUGCUGUACUCAGCCUCAGGGCUUAUGGAAUUUCAGGUUCUAGGUCUGCAAGAUGCUCUUGAAGGCUCUACCUGGACCUUUCAAUUCCUAGGCACUGGCAGGGGUCCUACUCUCUUUAGAGUAGAGUGGUGUGUGGGUGGGUGCAUUGUGAUUGAUGACUAUG
Molecule: non-coding RNA, 1041 nt
Organism: Cavia porcellus (domestic guinea pig)
Lineage: Eukaryota; Metazoa; Chordata; Mammalia; Rodentia; Caviidae
Source: the annotation of a RefSeq genome assembly